AGACACCUGUUGCAUGUGCUCAUGCGGAACAUAAUCACCUGUGCCAUUGAGUUAGUGUGUGUGUGAAUUAUGCAUGUGUGUGCAUGUGUGUGUGUGGAAUAUGUGUGAGUAAGUGGACAGUGUGUGUGCUGGUGCAGGGGGUUCAGACUGGCAUUCAGAUGAGCACAAUACAAGAUAUUUAAUGCUCAAUGAUGAAUUGAUUAGAGAAAAAGGGAGUGUGUUUAACAGUAGAGAGUGUAGUAGAUGAUAGUAGUAGAUGAUAGCGGUAGGUGAUAGUGGUAGGUGAUAGUAGUAGGUGAUAGUAGUAGGUGAUAGUAGUAGGUGAUAACAAUAUAUGAUAGUAGUAGGUGAUAGUAGUUUGUGAUAGUAAUAGAUGAAAGUAGUAGGUGAUAGUAGUUGAUGAUAGUAGUAGAUUCUAGUUGUAGUUGAAAAUAGUAAGUGAUAGUAGUAGAUGAUAGCAGUAGGUGAUAGUAGUUUGUGAUAGUAAUAGAUGAAAGUAGUAGGUGAUAGUAGCAGGUGAUAGUAGUAGGUGAUAGUUGUAGCUUUCAGUAGUAGGUGAUAGUAGUAGAUGAUAGUAGUAGAUGAUAGUAGUAGGUGAUAGUUGUAGUGAAAGUAGUAGGGGAUAGUAGUAGGUGAUAGUUGUAGGUGAUAGUUGUAGUGAAAGUAGUAGGGGAUAGUAGUAGGUGAUAGUAGUAGGUAAUAGUAAUAGAUGAUAGUUGUAGGUGAUAGUUGUAGUGAAAGUAGUAGGGGAUAGUAGUAGGUGAUAGUAGUAGGUAAUAGUAAUAGAUGAUAGUUGUAGGUGAAAAUAGUAGUUGAUAGUAGUAGGUGAUUAUAGUAUAUGAUAGUAGUAGGUGAUAGUAGUAG
This 864-nucleotide long non-coding RNA is filed under the name Salmo salar (Atlantic salmon). Its description in RNAcentral is "lncRNA (ENSSSAG00000094607.1)". Lineage: Eukaryota; Metazoa; Chordata; Actinopteri; Salmoniformes; Salmonidae. The record is from RNAcentral.